CCGGUUGAUCCUGCCGGACCCUACUGCUAUCGGGGUGGGACUAAGACAUGCGAGUCGAGCGUCUCCCAAUUGUAGAGACGCGGCAUACGGCUCAGUAACACGUGGCUAACCUACCCUUAGGACGGGGAUAACCCCGGGAAACUGGGGUAAAUCCCCGAUAUGUGAGAACGCCUGGAAUGGUUUCUCACAGAAAGGGUGUUGGAACCACGCAUUCCAACAUCGCCUAAGGAUGGGGCCGCGUCCGAUCAGGUAGUUGGUGAGGUAACGGCUCACCAAGCCUAUAACCGGUACGGGCCGUGAGAGCGGGAGCCCGGAGAUGGGCACUGAGACAAGGGCCCAGGCCCUACGGGGCGCAGCAGUCGCGAAAACUCCGCAAUGCGCGCAAGCGCGACGGGGCUACCCCGAGUGCCAUCCGCUGAGGAUGGCUUUUACCCGGUGUAAUGAGCCGGAGGAAUAAGGGGAGGGCAAGCCUGGUGUCAGCCGCCGCGGUAAUACCAGCUCCCCGAGUGGUGGGGAUGAUUAUUGGGCCUAAAGCGUCCGUAGCCGGCUCGACAAGUCCCCCGUUAAAUCCGGCGAUCUAAUCGUCGGGCUGCGGGGGAUACUGUCGGGCUAGGAGGCGAGAGAAGCCGACUGUACUCCUGGGGUAGGGGUGAAAUCCUAUAAUCCCAGGAGGACAACCAGUGGCGAAGGCUGUCGGCUAGAGCGCGCUCGACGGUGAGGGACGAAAGCUGGGGGAGCGAUCCGGAUUAGAUACCCGGGUAGUCCCAGCUGUAAACGAUGCAGGCUAGGUGUUAGCGUGACUACGGGUCACGCUAGUGCCGCAGGGAAGCCGUUAAGCCUGCCGCCUGGGAAGUACGGUCGCAAGACUGAAACUUAAAGGAAUUGGCGGGGGAGCAC
Molecule: ribosomal RNA, 897 nt
Filed under: uncultured archaeon
Lineage: Archaea
Description: bacterial SSU rRNA
Rfam family: Archaeal small subunit ribosomal RNA
Source: RNAcentral